CUCGAUGGAGAGCUAGAAGAUUAUUUAAACCACUAAGGUGCAGGAGUAAUGCUAGUGUCAAUAAAAAAUAUCGAUAUAUACAUUGUCAUUCUGUCGUUAACGAUCAAAAAAAUUUACAUACCAUUGCAUAUGAAAGCUUUGAUAGGGUAGAUCAAAAUAAAAUAUCCGACUCAAGUUUGAACACAUAUACAUCAAUAGAUGAACACGAU
Molecule: long non-coding RNA, 209 nt
Filed under: Elaeis guineensis (African oil palm)
Lineage: Eukaryota; Viridiplantae; Streptophyta; Magnoliopsida; Arecales; Arecaceae
Description: long non-coding RNA (EGUI_LNC011904)
Source: RNAcentral